GGGUAGCUUGCCACCUGACCUAGCGGCGGACGGGUGAGUAAUGCUUAGGAAUCUGCCUAUUAGUGGGGGACAACAUUCCGAAAGGAAUGCUAAUACCGCAUACGCCCUACGGGGGAAAGCAGGGGAUCUUCGGACCUUGCGCUAAUAGAUGAGCCUAAGUCAGAUUAGCUAGUUGGUGGGGUAAAGGCCUACCAAGGCGACGAUCUGUAGCGGGUCUGAGAGGAUGAUCCGCCACACUGGGACUGAGACACGGCCCAGACUCCUACGGGAGGCAGCAGUGGGGAAUAUUGGACAAUGGGCGAAAGCCUGAUCCAGCCAUGCCGCGUGUGUGAAGAAGGCCUUUUGGUUGUAAAGCACUUUAAGCGAGGAGGAGGCUACUUAGAUUAAUACUCUAGGAUAGUGGACGUUACUCGCAGAAUAAGCACCGGCUAACUCUGUGCCAGCAGCCGCGGUAAUACAGAGGGUGCGAGCGUUAAUCGGAUUUACUGGGCGUAAAGCGUGCGUAGGCGGCUUCUUAAGUCGGAUGUGAAAUCCCUGAGCUUAACUUAGGAAUUGCAUUCGAUACUGGGAAGCUAGAGUAUGGGAGAGGAUGGUAGAAUUCCAGGUGUAGCGGUGAAAUGCGUANAGAUCUGGAGGAAUACCGAUGGCGAAGGCAGCCAUCUGGCCUAAUACUGACGCUGAGGUACGAAAGCAUGGGGAGCAAACAGGAUUAGAUACCCUGGUAGUCCAUGCCGUAAACGAUGUCUACUAGCCGUUGGGGCCUUUGAGGCUUUAGUGGCGCAGCUAACGCGAUAAGUAGACCGCCUGGGGAGUACGGUCGCAAGACUAAAACUCAAAUGAAUUGACGGGGGCCCGCACAAGCGGUGGAGCAUGUGGUUUAAUUCGAUGCAACGCGAAGAACCUUACCUGGUCUUGACAUAGUAAGAACUUUCCAGAGAUGGAUUGGUGCCUUCGGGAACUUACAUACAGGUGCUGCAUGGCUGUCGUCAGCUCGUGUCGUGAGAUGUUGGGUUAAGUCCCGCAACGAGCGCAACCCUUUUCCUUAUUUGCCAGCGGGUUAAGCCGGGAACUUUAAGGAUACUGCCAGUGACAAACUGGAGGAAGGCGGGGACGACGUCAAGUCAUCAUGGCCCUUACGACCAGGGCUACACACGUGCUACAAUGGUCGGUACAAAGGGUUGCUACCUAGCGAUAGGAUGCUAAUCUCAAAAAGCCGAUCGUAGUCCGGAUUGGAGUCUGCAACUCGACUACAUGAAGUCG
RNAcentral lists this ribosomal RNA (1260 nucleotides) under uncultured Acinetobacter sp. RNAcentral describes it as "bacterial SSU rRNA". It matches the Rfam family "Bacterial small subunit ribosomal RNA", at positions 73 to 1328 of the family's 1533-position model. Lineage: Bacteria; Pseudomonadati; Pseudomonadota; Gammaproteobacteria; Moraxellales; Moraxellaceae. The record is from RNAcentral.